RNAcentral lists this ribosomal RNA (93 nucleotides) under Mytilus coruscus. The record is from RNAcentral. Lineage: Eukaryota; Metazoa; Mollusca; Bivalvia; Mytilida; Mytilidae.
AAAAAACCGGUUCUCGUCCGAUCACCGAAGUUAAGCAGCGUCGCUCGGUUAGUACUUGGAUGGGUGACCGCCUGGGAAUACCGGGUGUUGUAG